UACGAAGGGUGCAAGCGUUAAUCGGAAUUACUGGGCGUAAAGCGCGCGUAGGUGGUUCGUUAAGUUAGGAGUGAAAGCCCCGGGCUCAACCUGGGAAUUGCUUCUAAAACUGGCGAGCUAGAGUAUGGUAGAGGGUGGUGGAAUUUCCUGUGUAGCGGUGAAAUGCGUAGAUAUAGGAAGGAACAUCAGUGGCGAAGGCGACCACCUGGACUAAUACUGACACUGAGGUGCGAAAGCGUGGGGAGCAAACAGG
Molecule: ribosomal RNA, 253 nt
Filed under: uncultured bacterium
Lineage: Bacteria
Description: partial 16S ribosomal RNA
Rfam family: Bacterial small subunit ribosomal RNA
Source: RNAcentral